Molecule: ribosomal RNA, 790 nt
Filed under: uncultured Poribacteria bacterium
Lineage: Bacteria; Candidatus Poribacteria
Description: SSU rRNA
Rfam family: Bacterial small subunit ribosomal RNA
Source: RNAcentral
CUUAACUUCGGUUAUGAAGAGAGUGGCGAAAGGGUGAGUAACGCGUAGGUAAUUUGCCCUUGAGACAGGAAUAACAUCCCGAAAGGGUUGCUAAUACCUGAUAACAUCUAUUAACCCUCGGGUUUUUAGAUCAAAUGAAGGCUCUGCUUUCGCUCAAGGAGAAACCUGCGUCCUAUUAGCUUGUUGGUGGGGUAAUGGCCUACCAAGGCGAUGAUGGGUAGCUGGUCUGAGAGGAUGGUCAGCCACAUUGGGACUGAGACACUGCCCAAACUCCUACGGGAGGCUGCAGUCGAGAAUAUUUCGCAAUGGGGGAAACCCUGACGAUGCGACGCCGCGUGGGGGAUGAAGGUCUUCGGAUUGUAAACUCCUGUUCUACAAGAAGAACGUGCAGUUAGUGAUAAGCUAACUGCAGUGACUGUAUUGUAGCAGCAAGCCCCAGCUAACUACGUGCCAGCAGCUGCGGUAAUACGUAGGGGGCAAGCGUUGUCCGGAAUUACUGGGCGUAAAGCGCACGCAGGCGGCCAUAUAAGUCGGGUAUGAAAUUGCUUGGCUUAACCAAGCAACUGUAUUCGAUACUGUGUGGCUUGAGUACGAGAGGGGAAAGUGGAAUGUACAGUGUAGCGGUGAAAUGCGUAGAGAUUGUACAGAACACCGGUAGCGAAGGCAGCUUUCUGGCUCGAUACUGACGCUGAGGUGCGAAAGUCUGGGUAGCGAACGGGAUUAGAUACCCCGGUAGUCCAGACCGUAAACGAUGGGUACUAAGUGUAGGGGAUACGACUCUUCUGUGCUG